Molecule: signal recognition particle RNA, 294 nt
Filed under: Saimiri boliviensis boliviensis (Bolivian squirrel monkey)
Lineage: Eukaryota; Metazoa; Chordata; Mammalia; Primates; Cebidae
Description: Metazoan signal recognition particle RNA (ENSSBOG00000002426.1)
Rfam family: Metazoan signal recognition particle RNA
About the family: The signal recognition particle (SRP) is a universally conserved ribonucleoprotein. It is involved in the co-translational targeting of proteins to membranes.
Source: Rfam by way of RNAcentral
GCUGGGCAUGGUGGUGCAUGCCUGUAGUCCCAGCUACUUGGGAGGCUGAGGUGGGAGGAUCACUUGAGCCCAGGAGUUCUGGGCUGUAGCGCGCUAUGCUGAUCGUGUGUCUGCCCUAAGUUUGGCAUCAAUAUGGUGACAUCUCGGGGGCAGGGGACCACCAGGUUGCCUAAGGAGGGGGUGAACUGUCCCAGGUCGGAAACGGAGCAGGUCAAAACUCCCGUGCUGAUCAAUGGUGGAAUCGCACUUGUGAAUAGCCACUGCACUCCAGCCUGGGCAACAUAGAGAGACCAA